RNAcentral lists this ribosomal RNA (433 nucleotides) under uncultured bacterium. RNAcentral's name for it is "partial 16S ribosomal RNA". It matches the Rfam family "Bacterial small subunit ribosomal RNA", at positions 29 to 507 of the family's 1533-position model. The record is from RNAcentral.
AGCGAACGCUGGCGGCAGGCCUAACACAUGCAAGUCAAACGAACUCUUCGGAGUUGGUGGCGGACGGGUGAGUAACACGUGGGAACGUGCCUUUUGGUUCGGAAUAACUCAGGGAAACUUGUGCUAAUACCGAAUGUGCCCUUCGGGGGAAAGAUUUAUCGCCAUUAGAGCGGCCCGCGUCUGAUUAGCUAGUUGGUGAGGUAACGGCUCACCAAGGCGACGAUCAGUAGCUGGUCUGAGAGGAUGACCAGCCACACUGGGACUGAGACACGGCCCAGACUCCUACGGGAGGCAGCAGUGGGGAAUCUUGCGCAAUGGGCGAAAGCCUGACGCAGCCAUGCCGCGUGAAUGAUGAAGGUCUUAGGAUUGUAAAAUUCUUUCACCGGGGACGAUAAUGACGGUACCCGGAGAAGAAGCCCCGGCUAACUUCGUG